Phrynosoma platyrhinos (Desert horned lizard) is the source of this 73-nucleotide non-coding RNA. The record is from the annotation of a GenBank genome assembly. Lineage: Eukaryota; Metazoa; Chordata; Lepidosauria; Squamata; Phrynosomatidae.
GGCCAGUGUGGCAUAGUGGUUUGAGUGCUGAACUACAGCUCGGGAGACCAGGAUUCAAAUCCCAGUUUGGCCA